RNAcentral lists this ribosomal RNA (463 nucleotides) under uncultured bacterium. Its description in RNAcentral is "partial 16S ribosomal RNA". It matches the Rfam family "Bacterial small subunit ribosomal RNA", at positions 28 to 523 of the family's 1533-position model. The record is from RNAcentral.
GAUGAAUGCUGGCGGCGUGCCUAACACAUGCAAGUCGAGCGGUAACAUGGACUUCGGUCUGAUGACGAGCGGCGAACGGCUGAGUAACGCGUGGGAACAUACCCCAAAGUGAGGGAUAACCGCCCGAAAGGGUGGCUAAUACCGCAUAUGGUCUAAGGAUUAAAGGAUUUAUCCGCUUUGGGAAUGGCCUGCGUACGAUUAGAUUGUUGGUAGGGUAAAGGCCUACCAAGUCGACGAUCGUUAGCUGGUCUGAGAGGAUGAUCAGCCAGACUGGAACUGAGACACGGUCCAGACUCCUACGGGAGGCAGCAGUGAGGAAUCUUCCACAAUGGGCGAAAGCCUGAUGGAGCAACGCCGCGUGCAGGAUGAAGGCCCUCGGGUCGUAAACUGCUUUUAUAAGUGAAGGAUAUGACGGUAACUUAUGAAUAAGCACCGGCUAACUACGUGCCAGCAGCCGCCGUAA